AGUUAAAACAGCAGCCUUAGCUGAACACAAAUAUUACAACCAAAAAUGUAUCUUCCAUUGUUACUUUUCCAAUUUCUUAUGAGAAAAUUUAAACUACUCCGUUGCAGUACUUUCCGGAAAAGCUGAGAUGGUGAAAUUUGGAGCUCGAAAACAGCUUGAUGUUCAACAGAAUGCAGCAAGCAAUAUUGCAUAGAUGACUGUCUCUAUUUUGGGGCAGGGUUGGAUUAGACAUGCUGACUGGGUUUCUUAAUAACUUCGUUUCUACUUCAAUAAGUUGUGGCCGUUCAACAGAAUGCAGCAAGCAAUAUUGCAUAGAUGACUAUCUCUAUUUUGGGGCAGGGUUGGAUUAGACAUGCUGACUGGGUUUCUUAAUAACUUCGUUUCUACUUCAAUAAGUUUGUAAUGUAAUCUAUCAAGUGAUUUCUUUUCAAACGUAAUCUUUCUUUUUCUC
RNAcentral lists this long non-coding RNA (451 nucleotides) under Citrus maxima (pomelo). Its description in RNAcentral is "long non-coding RNA (CMAX_LNC000125)". The record is from RNAcentral. Lineage: Eukaryota; Viridiplantae; Streptophyta; Magnoliopsida; Sapindales; Rutaceae.